RNAcentral lists this ribosomal RNA (301 nucleotides) under uncultured bacterium. RNAcentral describes it as "partial 16S ribosomal RNA". It matches the Rfam family "Bacterial small subunit ribosomal RNA", at positions 509 to 809 of the family's 1533-position model. The record is from RNAcentral.
CAGUCGCCACGGGAAUACGUAGGUGGCAAGCGUUGUCCGGAAUUAUUGGGCGUAAAGCGCGCGCAGGCGGAUAGGUCAGUCUGUCUUAAAAGUUCGGGGCUUAACCCCGUGAUGGGAUGGAAACUGCCAAUCUAGAGUAUCGGAGAGGAAAGUGGAAUUCCUAGUGUAGCGGUGAAAUGCGUAGAUAUUAGGAAGAGCACCAGUGGCGAAGGCGACUUUCUGGACGAAAACUGACGCUGAGGCGCGAAAGCCAGGGGAGCGAACGGGAUUAGAUACCCGCGUAGUCCCUGUCUCUUAUACA